Molecule: long non-coding RNA, 850 nt
Organism: Neofelis nebulosa (Clouded leopard)
Lineage: Eukaryota; Metazoa; Chordata; Mammalia; Carnivora; Felidae
Exons: 4
Source: RefSeq, a predicted model, not a curated record
GUGGGGUUGGGGGCGGGAAGAGUUAUAGAGCUCCUUCUGGGAUCCGUAAGUCCCCAGAUAUUGGAAGGGACACCAGCCUUUACAGUAAUGACAGCCAGAUUCCAGCUUUCGUAUGAAGCUACCAGCUGCCUUAGAAAGGACCCACAGAUAAGAGGUAGUCUGUGUCUGCUCAACUCAGCCUCCAAGAGAACAUGUUCCAAAACCCUGCGGCAAGAGGGUGAGAACGAUUAAGACAACAUUUUGCGAUACUUACCAGGUGAUGUCUACAUCCUUCCAACUCAUGGUGACUUUGGGAAUGGCCGUCCAGAGGCUCAGGAGUGGAGAUGCUGCUGUCAGGCACGGAGGAGGUUCAAGAGUGCCUGGACUCCAGCACCCAAAAUGAGCAGGAAGGCCCAGAUGAAGAUUUCUGUCAGGACAUACUUUUGCUCUGAGAAGAGUAGCAAGUCUUGAACCGAGGUCACGGGUGUCUUGAGGUGUCUGUUCCAGCUUCAUAAAUAUUAAGCAUUAUUUCUCACAUGUCUUAUACAUUUUUGUGUAAUCCCUGUAAUAUAAGGGCAGGUAUAAUUGUAUAUGCUUUAUAAAAUGUGUGACAGAUACAAUUAGCCUUACUUUCUACAUGGGGAGACUGAGACUCGGAUGAGAAAAGUCAGUCUUUCAAGUCACACAUUUCAUCGCCGGCGGAGUCUGGGGCAUGAGUUCCUAUCUCCUGAUUCCCAGGUACAUGCUGUUUUUGCUAGACUCAAAGUAUUAAAGAAUCCAGACUCUUUGGAAGUAAUGAGGGAUUCCAGAAAUAGCCUUAGCAGUGCUUAACAAUUUGAAAGACCAAAGGCACUGAGGCCAAAGAAGAUUG